RNAcentral lists this transfer RNA (73 nucleotides) under Pedobacter sp. RNAcentral describes it as "tRNA-Trp". It matches the Rfam family "tRNA". Rfam says of the family: Transfer RNA (tRNA) molecules are approximately 80 nucleotides in length. Their secondary structure includes four short double-helical elements and three loops (D, anti-codon, and T loops). Further hydrogen bonds mediate the characteristic L-shaped molecular structure. tRNAs have two regions of fundamental functional importance: the anti-codon, which is responsible for specific mRNA codon recognition, and the 3' end, to which the tRNAs corresponding amino acid is attached (by aminoacyl-tRNA synthetases). tRNAs cope with the degeneracy of the genetic code in two manners: having more than one tRNA (with a specific anti-codon) for a particular amino acid; and 'wobble' base-pairing, i.e. permitting non-standard base-pairing at the 3rd anti-codon position. Lineage: Bacteria; Pseudomonadati; Bacteroidota; Sphingobacteriia; Sphingobacteriales; Sphingobacteriaceae. The record is from RNAcentral.
GGGCCUGUAGCUCAGUGGUCAGAGCAGGGGUUUCCAAAACCUUGUGUCGCCAGUUCAAAUCUGGUCGGGUCCA